GACAUCACGACGUCCCCACAAAUAAUGUCAGCGUGUUACUGAUGAGUCGUCUUUCGAGUUCAUCCGUGACCUUCGCCCCGAACAAAUCUGCCAUGUCCGUAAUUUGUAAAGGAUAAAAAUCUCCGGCAACAUAAAAUGGUCAUGUGAUGAUACGAGUCGCAUUAAAUUCUAUAUCUCUGUGAUUUUUGUGUCGUUUUUCUGCCGCUGUGUUUUCUCGUGUUAUCCCUCCGUCCAUCCCGUUCUUGUGAAUGUUACUUCUCAGGAACGACUUCACAGAAGUUCACUUAGAUUCGGAGAAAGCACUGAGUACACUUUGGUGCUCAAAGAUCACUGCGACCUCACAAACCACGUCAAGAAUUCAUACACUAAUUUUAAAAAAAAACCCUCACAAAAAUGUCUAAUUAGAUAAAACGAUGAAGUGAUGAUCAAAGGUCAACUUCAAGAGUUCAUCAUAAUGAUCUGCAAAAUAUAUUUUUCUGGCCCGUCUAACGUUCAUCUCGGGUGUUUUCCUGGAAACUGUGGUAGUUUUGUGGGUCCUGAACACACUUUAUACUCCAGCGUACUCUUCUGAACAGCAGGGAACAGCUGUGGUGUGAGGUCGGCCAUGUUGACGCUUUAAAAGCGACGAAAGAGCAACAAAAGGUCGUCACGUUCAAGUGCAGCCACAGAGCCUGUUUCACUUGAUGUAAAUGAGCUGUAGCACAGGCACAAAGUAGGGGAACUCAACACUUUGUUAUAAAUGCGGCUAAUUACGUCAGUACGUUUCCAGGCUGAGGUCAGCGGAGAGCAGUAGCUGGGUGUGAACAGGCCUCAGAAGUUUAGCUCUCCCUCUCUGGAGGGGCGACUGUGUGUGAUGGACGGCAGCUGGCAGGCCGACAGAUAAACAAAGCUGCUCUGUCGCUGACGGCUCGCGUGUUCGCGGUGCUGCUGAACGAUGAGGACUGAAGUUUUAUUUGCAGGUAUGUUCACAUGCUGUUUAAACCUCCAGCUCAGCAGCUAACCGGCUAACGGAUGUUAGCGGUGCACGUUUCCCCUGGUUGAUGGCUUCUAUUCCAGGUGUCCUUCUUUUAAAUGAAGAUAAAUUAAUAGCGGUCCAGAAAAACAGAAGAUCUGAGGAGGGACAAACAUCUGGGAAGACGCUCAAGUUGAUUGAUCAUAAAUGUUCUCCCAAUUACAAGUACGGGAAGGUGGUGGUAAACAAAAGACAGGGAGGCAGGGGGGACAGCAGGAACGUGAUGGGGGGAGGAGGAGGAGGACCACACUGCUAUUACGAGCACUUUAUUUUCAAUUAAGCCUUCUUGCAUCCACUUUCUGGCAUUUUUGAUGAUGCAGGGACUUCUCGGACUGGAAAUUGAUUGGUUAGCAAACGUCGGCAACUUUGGUUCAAUUAAUGGCAGACGCACUUCCAACCUGCAGCGAAAAAGGAAACUUCAGGAAAAAUACAUUUUUUUCACCCAAUGUAGCCGCAGAACAAGUAUUUUUGAUUUUGCAUGAUGUAAAGUGGUGGAAUCGUGUUUUUGAACGUUUGAAGUAAUUGCCUGUUAACUUGCUUAUUAUAUUUACAUGUAUAUUAAUAAUUCAAAAAGCACAUACAAUCAAUAAGGCUUUAAGAAGAGUGUUGGAUGUGGGGACGUACGGAGCUCCUACGUGAUCAACAAUGAAUAAGAAUAAAAGGAAAUAACACUGAGUAAAGAUUAUAAAUGAAACAAUUUGUUGUGAGAUGAUUCCAGAAAUUAUUACACUCAACUCGUUACUGUCAUUUUCUGUUAUUAUUUACAAGUUAAAGCAGCUGCAAGGAGUUUUCACGACGUUGAUUCUGGCGACCCCUGUGGACAGAAGCGGUAUGACCACAAAGAUUUUUGACCUGCUACAAGUGUUAAUUUGUUUUGGCAGUCAGUUAAAAAGACACAACAUACGAUUCAUACUUUUUUUCUUUUUUAAACUCCCACUGUUUGUAUCUAAUUUUAGCUGUAAAGGAUCAAAAACUAAUAUGUCAACAGCAAAACAACAAAUGUUUUAGGAACAUUAUCUGCACAGUAAUAGCAGUAACAGCUAGCGACUGUUACCACCAUCUCUUUACUGGGAUGCUAGUUAGCUGGCUAUGUAGCCUAGCAAGGCUGUUAACGAGAUUGUAAAAGGUUCAUUGGCGUACAUGUAAGCUGUCUUUAUCUGCAGAAGAAGCCGAAUGAGGGAGUCGGACUUACUUCGGCCUUGUUGUUGCUCGAGCUAACAGAAGCUAACAGGCUAAAGUUUGGUAGCAAAACUCCAGUGUCAUCAGUCAAUAAAAGGUCUCUGACAGUUUAAAGGCAAACUUCUGACUCUAAGAAUCACUUCAACUUACCUUGAGCAUAAAUGUACAUUAACAAUAAUAAGACAAUGAAUCACAAACAAGCAUUUUGAUCAAACAGCUGAAGUAUUUCAACAUAUUUUCAGUCAUUUUAAUGUCACCUCUUCUCAGGACUGUGUGGAUGUUUAUUUUUCCUUGACUAUACUUUUAGUUUCGUUAAACACGCCAUAACUUUAUACGUAUAGAAGCUUUAAUGAUGUUGCAUCAACAUCAACAUCAACCCGGGCGGAAGUGUUAAUCAGCCAGAAUAGCUGGAAAACACCUGUGUGGGUGUGUCGGGCCUUUAACACAUUAGGAAGUACUGGAAUAUCUGAGAAGCUCCAGUUCACUGUUACACCUCCGAUCGAUUCUGCAGGGAAUCCACUUUACACUUAAAUCAAAUCCAUCCCGGUACUGAAAAGCUUUUUGAAUCCAGAGAGGAAGUCAGCAUAACUAAAGGAGGGCGUGAAGUACGACAGAGCGAGAGAAAAGAUCUUACAGGAUGAGAGGUGUGUGUGGAGGUGGAAAUACCUUCACGUAUCAAAAUGACGCUGCAGACGGAUCUACGGCAGUUAGUCGGGUGACAAUCCUCUCUGGGUUCAUCACAACAGGCAACAUUCAUUUGAUCCUCCAUUAAAAAGAAAAACACUUAUUAGAGCCACAGCUGCUUUGGACACACUCAGAGUCAUACAAGAUGUUUCUGUUAACGGUAACCAAUAAUUAUAAGACAGUAAUAACCUGAGAUGUGAUCAUUUUGGUUCCCUUACUCGACCUUUAAACCCAAACAGGGCGAGGAGAAGCAAACUGCACAGCAGGAGCAGAACGAUGUUCAUGUUACAGUUUCCUUUUAUUGAUAACAGCAAGCUGGUAAGUCUUUUACAUUGACAAAAUGAAUGAAAGUUGUAGGAAACACACUGAGAUGUACUCCGGUACAUUAUUGCCUAUUGGCCAUUUUUUCUUUACAUUUACACAAACUUCUCAAACAUCAGUGAACGCCUCUGUGUGGACGUAGAACUAUUUAUUUAUAUUCCUCCGUUAUAAUAAAGACAACAACUGUUCAAAUUCAAGUUGAGCAGCGUUGACUCGUCUGUCUUGAGGAUGAUUUAAAAACCGUGUUCAUUCCAACAAUCAGGAUGAAAAAUAGUUACAAACUCGACGACUUGAGAUGCAUUCAUGUUUUUAAAAUUAUUGAUUAGAAAAAGUUCACAAUCGCACCGACUGCUCGACGGCUUUCAACCGUUCCGUCCAUCUCAUUACAAAGCCUGAAUGUGACGCCCUUUAAUAUGAAAGAUUCUACGUCUGUUCAUCGAUUGCUCUUUGAAUAUAUGUUAAAAAACUAACAUGAUGAACAGAUGUCAAUUAAAGUUAAUUAGCCUCAAAUGCUUACAAAAAAAAAAA
Long non-coding RNA from Acanthopagrus latus (yellowfin seabream), 3724 nucleotides. RefSeq lists it as uncharacterized. The transcript has 2 exons. Lineage: Eukaryota; Metazoa; Chordata; Actinopteri; Spariformes; Sparidae. The record is from RefSeq and is a predicted model, not a curated record.